Long non-coding RNA from Bos taurus (domestic cattle), 2249 nucleotides. Lineage: Eukaryota; Metazoa; Chordata; Mammalia; Artiodactyla; Bovidae. The record is from Ensembl.
CCUCAGAGCACCGCCCCGCACGCGAGCAUGACGGGAAUGGGCCGACGCCCCGCCUCGCGGGCUGCUUGGCGCGCGGAGCUUGCCGGGAGAAAGGGAAUGUGGGUGGGUUGCCUUGGCAACGUGCGGCUUGGCACGAGCUGAACAGUUGGGGUCCCGAGACCAGAGCGGCCGCUGCGCGCGGGCUUUCGAGGGCGGCGGGUGGUUCGGUUACUGCCCGGCGGCGGCCGAGCCUGGAAGGAGAGGGCGGGAAAAACCACACGGGAGCGGGGCGUAGAAGCGGAAGAGAGGGGUCCGGGGCGAAGGGAGGGUGUGCAGCGUCUCCGGCCGUGUCGAGUGAGGGGAGCUGUGCAGGGUGUCCCAGAGCGAGGGGAGGAAGCGGAGGGGAGACGGGCUCGGAAAGUGCAGGGAAACGGAGAAGAGGGAAGAAACAGCGGGGCGGGCCUCCUGGCAAGGCAGGUUUCGUGGAGUCACAUCACUGAGCAGACUGUAGGAGACCCGAUUUCACUGCGUCAGCAUGCCCCAGCCAGAGACGCCCUAUCACCGAGCAAACCCGUACUCAGUGUUGGAAGAAGAGUGUAUUUACGCACACGAUAGAGGAGGGAAGAAUGGUCAGGGAAAGGGGAGCGGGCAGGUCGGACACCCGAGCCUAGAGCCCGGUUGUGGAGCAGGGAGGGUCGUCAUGGGUUGCUUGCACGUGUAGUUGGAAGUCUGACCACAGAGCCCUUUCUGGCGCCUAGAGAUCUAACCACCUUGACUUCCUCUGCCUGUGGUAGACUCAUCUUUGGGUUAAGGAGGGGAAAGAGGAAGGGACAAGAUGCCCAGUAGGAAUUACAAGGAAGGGAUGCCGAUGGGAGGAAAGGGGAGAGAGCACCAUGAAAUCCAUUCUGGUGAGAACUAGGCACUGGUUUUAAGAGAAGUCCAUGUCCUGACACCCAGUCCCAUUUUGCGGCUUCUGAGUGAGGUGGACCAAGUUAAGACUAGGGGCUCCGGACGAGAAGACUUUAGGUAAUUCUUGGCAACAGAGACUUCACAUGGGACCCACCCGCCCACCGUCUUGUUGAUGCUUUGUUCAUUCUUUGCCCGGAUACCUUGAGGUCCCAGCUCAUUUCCCUCAGGGAGGACCUUGGUGGUCUUUUGAUAGAACCUGCUGUGACCUGAGGUGAACGGCCCCUGUGGGCAAAGGGGGGAACACACGUUACCACUGAUGACUCCAGGGAACAUCACAGAUUGAGUUCCCCAAAGUUUUCUGAGGCCGCCUUGUCAUCUGUAAAACAAUUACAGCUCUCCCCUCUCCAGAGGUGGUUAUAUAUAGAGACCUAGUGAGACCCUGCAAGUGCUUUUAGAGGGUGUGGGCCCUCUAAUGCAAGGAUGAGUUACUUGAAAGGCCAGUCCCUGUGGCUUGUGGAGCCACUGCGGGAAGGAAGGGGAUGGAGCCCGCUGCCACCACUGGCUAGCCGGGCCAGGUCAGCUUGAUGUGUGGACCCUCAUGUACCCCCAUUCCCCCUGGCCCUGCUCUGGGCCCAGAGACCUGGAUUUAAAUCCUGGACCUGUCACUUACUAGCUGAGUGAUCUUGGGCAAGACAUUUUGGCUUUCCUGCUUAAGUAGGACAAAGCUGGCCUGUGAAUGAAACCAUAGAAACCAAGGCACUUCUGGUUCCAGAAGGAGGCUGCUGUGGUUGGGGAGGGGCCCUGGCCAGGAACCUGUUAGAGACAGUUAUUUUGUCACCGACUGGAAUGGCCUUGGGACAGAGCACCGCUGUCUACCUCCCCCUGCCUGUCACGCUGUCUUUCUCAACCCUGUCACCCCCGUCAGCCUUAACGUUGGCCUUCCCCUCAGUUUCCUGCUGUGUUGGCCUGGGGAUGGGGAUUCCUGCAGAAACCAGUAAGCGUACGAUGAGGAAGCUCUCAGGUCACAUUACAGUUCACGCGCAUAGGCGAGGGUGUUCAGUCCUGAAGAGCAGCCGGUUCCCCAGCAUGAGAACAGAGCCCUGAACAGCCCACGGGGAGCCAGUGAGAGUCCCACCUGUGAGCACCGGGGAAAGUUAAGUCUUGAGUGAAGAGUUGGUUGGAAAAGGAAGCUGAACAGAAAAACUGGGUCGUCAACACACUCAAGAUGAUAAACAACCUUUACAUAAAUAAAUACAUAUAUGUGUAUAAAGCAAUUAUCUAGAUUGAGAAGUUACAAAUUUUAAAAAUGAGGACCACAGACAUCACAAACUCAAGCAAAAUACCCUGACAUUUUUCUUAAC